RNAcentral lists this ribosomal RNA (460 nucleotides) under uncultured bacterium. RNAcentral's name for it is "partial 16S ribosomal RNA". It matches the Rfam family "Bacterial small subunit ribosomal RNA", at positions 338 to 795 of the family's 1533-position model. The record is from RNAcentral.
CCUACGGGUGGCAGCAGUGAGGAAUAUUGGUCAAUGGGCGCGAGCCUGAACCAGCCAAGUAGCGUGAAGGAUGCCUGCCCUACGGGUUGUAAACUUCUUUUAUAAAGGAAUAAAGUGCGGCACGUGUGCCUUUUUGUAUGGACUUUAUGAAUAAGGAUCGGCUAACUCCGUGCCAGCAGCCGCGGUAAUACGGAGGAUCCGGGCGUUAUCCGGAUUUAUUGGGUUUAACGGGAGCGUCGAUGGUUUGUUAAGUCAGUUGUGAAAGUUUGCGGCUCAACCGUAAAAUUGCAAUUGAUACUGGCAGGCUUGAGUACAGUGGAGGUAGGCGGAAUUCGUGGUGUAGCGGUGAAAUGCUUAGAUAUCACGAAGAACUCCGAUUGCGAAGGCAGCUUACUAAACUGCCACUGACAUUGAGGCUCGAAAGUGUGGGUAUCAAACAGGAUUAGAUACCCUUGUAGUC